GCGCCCGUAGCUCAGUGGAUAGAGCGUCUGCCUCCGGAGCAGAAGGUCGUAGGUUCGAGUCCUAUCGGGCGCA
RNAcentral lists this transfer RNA (73 nucleotides) under Antribacter soli. It matches the Rfam family "tRNA". From Rfam's summary of the family: Transfer RNA (tRNA) molecules are approximately 80 nucleotides in length. Lineage: Bacteria; Bacillati; Actinomycetota; Actinomycetes; Micrococcales; Promicromonosporaceae. The record is from Rfam by way of RNAcentral.